Molecule: ribosomal RNA, 314 nt
Filed under: uncultured eukaryote
Lineage: Eukaryota
Description: partial 18S ribosomal RNA
Rfam family: Eukaryotic small subunit ribosomal RNA
Source: RNAcentral
CCCCUAGAUGUUCUGGGCCGCACGCGCGCUACACUGAACAGUUCAACAAGUCUUAACCUUGGCCGACAGGCCCGGGCAAUCUUUGAACGCUGGUCGUGAUGGGGAUAGACUUUUGCAAUUUUUGGUCUUCAACGAGGAAUUCCUAGUAAACGCAAGUCAUCAACUUGCAUUGAUUACGUCCCUGCCCUUUGUACACACCGCCCGUCGCACCUACCGAUUGAAUGGUCCGGUGAAGCCUCCGGAUUGGCGCGCACCUCGGUGCCGCCGAGAAGUUGGCUAAACCUUACCAUUUAGAGGAAGGUGAAGUCGUANCA